CUUAAAUAAUUUAAAUAAAAAUAUUGAUUUGUGGGAUCAAAAAUAUGGUUAAUAAGGUAUCAUUUUAAG
Molecule: transfer RNA, 69 nt
Filed under: Parasarpa zayla
Lineage: Eukaryota; Metazoa; Arthropoda; Insecta; Lepidoptera; Nymphalidae
Description: tRNA-His
Source: RNAcentral